This 336-nucleotide ribosomal RNA is filed under the name Triticum aestivum (bread wheat). Its description in RNAcentral is "partial small subunit ribosomal RNA". Lineage: Eukaryota; Viridiplantae; Streptophyta; Magnoliopsida; Poales; Poaceae. The record is from RNAcentral.
AUGAAGGAGGCGACGGCGUCGGGGGGCGGCGCGACGGCGACGGCGAACGACCCGAGGCAGCCGGCGACGGCGAGGCCGUACGCGCCGCCCAAGCUGUCGUCGCAGGACCUGCCCGUCGACUACGCGGGCUUCCUCGCCGUCGUCUUCGGCGUCGUCGGCGUCAUGCUCCACUACAAGGUGUGCUCGUGGAUCGCCAUCAUCUUCUGCGCGCAGUCGCUGGCGAACAUGAAGAACUUCGAGAAUGACCUCAAGCAGCUCUCCAUGGCUUUCAUGUUUGCUGUCAUGGGUUUGGUGACGAACUAUUUCGGGCCUCGCCCAGGCGGCACAAAACGCUAA